GUGGGUAGUUUGACUGGGGCGGUCUCCUCCUAAAGAGUAACGGAGGAGCACGAAGGUUGGCUAAUCCUGGUCGGACAUCAGGAGGUUAGUGCAAUGGCAUAAGCCAGCUUGACUGCGAGCGUGACGGCGCGAGCAGGUGCGAAAGCAGGUCAUAGUGAUCCGGUGGUUCUGAAUGGAAGGGCCAUCGCUCAACGGAUAAAAGGUACUCCGGGGAUAACAGGCUGAUACCGCCCAAGAGUUCAUAUCGACGGCGGUGUUUGGCACCUCGAUGUCGGCUCAUCACAUCCUGGGGCUGAAGUAGGUCCCAAGGGUAUGGCUGUUCGCCAUUUAAAGUGGUACGCGAGCUGGGUUUAGAACGUCGUGA
This 364-nucleotide ribosomal RNA is filed under the name Escherichia coli. Its description in RNAcentral is "partial 23S ribosomal RNA". It matches the Rfam family "Bacterial large subunit ribosomal RNA", at positions 2261 to 2624 of the family's 2925-position model. The record is from RNAcentral. Lineage: Bacteria; Pseudomonadati; Pseudomonadota; Gammaproteobacteria; Enterobacterales; Enterobacteriaceae. RNAcentral also lists the same sequence under 1 other name.